GUUUAAGCGGCUUUUGUGCGCCUCGAAUGCAACAAAUCACGAUUUAUUGUAACAUUUGCGAAUAAUAAUGCAACUAGUGCAAAGGGAGCGUUCGGAAAAGGUCAAAAUUCUUGAGAAUCUCACUGAUCUUCAUCGGAGUAAAAUUUCAAUAUCCGCAGACAAGUGGUAAUACACGGAUGACGCCAAUGGCCAUCAAGAAGCCGACCAAGUUGCCUAUCACGCCAUUGCGCGCAAAUUCUCUCAUCACGUCUGAAUCAACUUCUUGACGCAGCAUUCUCGCUGCUUCCUUUGCCAAUCUAACACGAUUCAUCAUGGAAUUGAUAUUUUUCACUGCUCUACGUCAAAGUCUCAACAAAUAGCAACGUCAAACAUAAAAACAAAUUGAAUUUAUGUUUACACAUCCGUUCUGGUUUGAUAUUUUGAUACUUUUAAUAUUUCCGGUGUGCGAAACAAAAUUUCUCAUGUUUUUUUUUUAAUUUCAAAUUGUCAAUCAAUCAAAUUGUUGGUGUGAAACAGUUUCGGACGAAAUUUUACACAAAUUGUAGUAAUUUUGAUUUCAAACAUGCAUAGAACAAGCAGUCGCGAAACAAACAACUCGAGAUCAUCAUCGAGGAAAAGCGGAAGUCGACACAGCAGUAUCUACGCGUCAUACUACGGCGAAGAUGAAGAAAAAGCGGCUGCGAGACGCGCAGUCAUCGGCAAUCUCACCGGCUUCGCAAUCAUUUGUACAAUCAUUCGCAUUCUGCCGUGUCUCACUGCGUUCUAUUAGAAUAGAAUCCAACUGACAUUCGUGAUCUGUCAAGGACAAACGGUUGAAGCACUUAUUAAUUAACACAAUGGCGGUAUUAUUACAAGCACGGUGUGAAAAUAUCAUGCGAUAAAGAUCACGAUGAGAAAGAAAUGUGAAAACACGUUGAGUAAAUAAUAAAAAAAACGUGCAAAUAUU
Molecule: long non-coding RNA, 946 nt
Organism: Dalotia coriaria
Lineage: Eukaryota; Metazoa; Arthropoda; Insecta; Coleoptera; Staphylinidae
Exons: 2
Source: RefSeq, a predicted model, not a curated record